GCCCACGUGGUCUCUGGGACGCUGCGGUGGCUUUCCGUCCUACCUCUGUGGAGUCAUAAAAACGACCGUGCCCUACACGUGUGCGUUGCUUUGGUUCAGCACCGUAGUGAGUUUGUUUUUUGCAGGUUUCAAGUCUCUGCAGAAGAAGUUCUGAGCCUGCAGCCUCUACUGCGUACAUUCCCACGCACAGGAGUCUUCCACACACGUCCCGGAGCUGUAGCACCUCUCCGCUAGCAUCUGGUUGCUACUGUGAGCGUGUGUGUGAUGUAUUUGUCACCAAGAAACAAAUCAUGGAGAGCAAGGCUCAAAGCAUGAAGUUUCAAGAGAAAGCACAAGAAAGGAAGAAAAUGGAAGUGUAAAGAUGUCUUCUUUGUUCCUUCUUGUAUUUGCCAUGCCAGGAAAGGUUAAGAAAUUCAUUUCUUCAAAUGAGAAAGGAUACUCCAUAUUAAUGACAGACUCCCCAAGCAUGUCAUCUGGAAAGAUGCAGGUGAACCCUAUAGACGUCCUUGAUGCUGAUGGAGUGUUUGUUGCUGCAACUGAGUGGCAAGACAAAAUACUCGAAUCAGGAAAGAGAACUUCCCUUCUUCUCUCUCAUUCCAGCUCUUUACUUGAGGAAGAGAACAGCCAUUGUCCUGACCAGGGAGUCCACAUGGGCAUUAAAAGGGCUGCCCAACAUUGCAUAUCACUAGGUGCCUCCCUCAGGCGCCAUGCACCUAGAGAUAUCUUAAUGACUUUCUUGUAGGAAUGGCUAGCUAGCAUUAUGAUCUGGGGCGCAAAAAAUCAAAGAAAAGGGUGCCCUGCUUCCUUAGGCUUUUAUAUGGAUCUUUCCACCCUGCCAUCCCAGGACAACUCGGUGGACCAGCCCAUAAUCCCUAUGGCCUGGAGAUCCUGAGACAAAUUUCUACCCACAUGUUGCUCUGUUGGGAUGAGGAUAAAGCUGGGGACAGAACAGUGCACUAAAGGAACUUUGCUUUGACACUGUGGUCUUGGAUUUUGUUCCUGGAUUUCCCAAGUUCUCUUUAGAACAGACAUAGAGGGGCUGUGUCCCAGGGCAUGAAGGGUUCUUCUCAGAGAUAUUCACAUGAGUGCAUGUAUGAAUCAGAGAAGACCCAAAUAUUAGCAUUAAGUGUUCAGCAAAGGUGUCAUCCUGGAUGGAGCUAAUAAACAGAUGGAUGGCAGAAUGAAGAUGAUAUUUGAGGUGUUUAAAGCUGGCAAAGGGUUAAUAUCCAGACUGUAAAGGGGAUUCCUUCAAAUCAGUACGAGAGAAGAUUGCAGUGAAAGAAACCUAAAAUGAAGAAAAGAAUAUGAGCUGGUGAGAUGUGAAUUUGAGAAAGAAAAGAAAAGUUGAUAUGGGAAGACCAGUCCACUGGAAGCAGUGCCACCCUGGGCAGGUCCUGGGCUCUAAGAAAACAGGCUGAGAAAGAGAAGUCCAUGAAGCAAGCCAUGGAGCAGCAUUCUUCCAGGGAUUCUUCAGUUCCUGCCUUUGGGUCUCUGCCUUGACUUUCCUCAGUGUUGGUACGUGUCAGUGGGGAUCAGGAAUCAAGGAAGGAGCCUCGGGCACCAUGCCUGUCUGCAUGCCACCAUGUUCUGCCACGAUGAGAAUGGACUAAACCACUGAAACUGUGAGCCACCCAAUUAAAUGUUUUUCUUUAUAAAAGUUGUUAUGGUCAUGAUGUCUCUUCACACCAAUGGAAACCGUAAGACAGUUCUUAACCCCUGAACUUAAUAGAGGUGUCAGUGUCUCCUUGGCCGACAACUGCACACCCACCAUUGUUGACUUAGUAUAGGCGUUUAUGAAAUAAACAAUCUUGAUAGAAAUCCUCGCCAACCUGCAUCCCGUGUGUAACACACUACAUCAGCCAAGCCCUGGUAACCGCUAGUUCUUCUCCUGGUAAAGGUGCACUCCGCCAAACUGGUCUCUAUUCCCCGGCAACGUACAUGCAGGCAUUCAGUGGAGUUUAUAAGGAGAUCUCCAGGUACAUUAAACCUUUUUCGUGCAACAAGCGCACCCCUGCGAACAGAAUGAGUCAGAUCUGAGGGAAGAGCAAUUCAACUUUGUGUUUAUAACCUCAUCAUAGGAAGUGAGGUGCUACAGCAAUUUUCCCCCAAAAUAAUUUACAGAUCAUUUGCCUUAAAACCUUCACUUGAGCCAUAAUUUGGGUUUUGUAAAGAUGAACUAAAAUAAUCAAUUUCAACCACCAAUCAGAGUUGAAAACAUGGCAAACAUUCAGCCAGUAUUGUUUUUCAGGUUUUAUUAAGGAGGAAUGCUUCCUUUCCAUUUGAUGUUUCCUCCCCACUGGACAGUCAUCCUGACUUCUCCUUGUCAUGUUAUUAUUUUUUUUCUUGACAAAAGAGAGUGAAUUGCUUUGACCUGAGGAUUCUGGAAGUUAUGCCAGAAAAUGUCAGCACAGACUUCCUGUCUUUUCUUUUGAGGAGUCUUCUCACCUCCCUCCCCCACAGGGAGGGAGCCUUACCUGGUUGAUCUCACUAUGGCUUAGUAUGCGGGAGGUCAACUUGUUUGAACUCUAACAGUUUUGUUUGCCAUUUAGAAUUAACUACCUCUUUGUAUGAGCCUUAAUAGUACUGAGGCGGUAUUCUGGCAUCUCUUUGAAGAUGCAUUUGGGUUGUCAAUUUUAGCAUUCUUUUUUGGAAAGCAUACUGCUAGCUAUGUCCGUGAGAAGGAACAUUUCCAGAGAGAACUAGUUCAUGAAGAUUCUGACCUAAUGAAUGAUUUAAUCCCUUGCUGGGUUCAUAUUACGACAGCCUUAUUUUGGGUGGCCAAAGGGUGGAGUCUCUUUAGAGGAAGCAGGUCAGCAGGGGCAUAUGCUUAGGGGCCACAUCUUGUCUCCUGUCUCUAACUCCUUAUUUCCUGUCCACCACGAGUACCCUUUGGUAUACAUUUCUACCCCCGAUAAUCUGCCUCACUGCAGACCUAGAAACAAUGGAACUGGUCAUGACAGAGUGAAUAAUCUGAAACCAAAAGCCAAAAUACAUCAUUUCUGUUGUUAGCUUUUCUCUUACACAUUUUUUGGUCAAUGCAAUGCAAAAACUAAUUAAUAUAAUGCUAUUAUUUGACUUCUUAGUUUGUUUAAAAUAUGUGAAAAGAAACAUUCUCAAUUACCCAACAGCCUGGAGAUGACUCAUGGUGAACUGUUAUUCUAGGAUAUUCAAUUGCUUCCUGUUUCUCUUUAUAGAGGAAAAUAGAUUAAAAUUAAAAGUAGAGCAAAGAUACAUCAGAAAUGAAAAUAGAAAUAAAGUACUAAUUGCAAUAUAAGUAAUAGAUUAACAAGAAUGAAAGGCAAAAAGAGAACAAAGAAAGUAUUCCUAGUUUCUUUGAUUCCAUAAGGAAGAUACAGAAUAAUCAUACAAAAAAUAGCCAUUGGGGGCAAAAA
Non-coding RNA from Cricetulus griseus (Chinese hamster), 3392 nucleotides. The record is from RefSeq and is a predicted model, not a curated record. NCBI's taxonomy places the organism in Eukaryota, Metazoa, Chordata, Mammalia, Rodentia, Cricetidae.